CCUACGGGCGGCAGCAGUGGGGAAUAUUGGACAAUGGGGGCAACCCUGAUCCAGCCAUGCCGCGUGUGUGAAGAAGGCCCUCGGGUUGUAAAGCACUUUCAGUGAGGAAGAACGCCUGGUGGUUAAUACCCAUCAGGAAAGACAUCACUCACAGAAGAAGCACCGGCUAACUCCGUGCCAGCAGCCGCGGUAAUACGGAGGGUGCGAGCGUUAAUCGGAAUUACUGGGCGUAAAGCGCGCGUAGGUGGCUUGAUAAGCCGGUUGUGAAAGCCCCGGGCUCAACCUGGGAACGGCAUCCGGAACUGUCAAGCUAGAGUGCAGGAGAGGAAGGUAGAAUUCCCGGUGUAGCGGUGAAGUGCGUAGAGAUCGGGAGGAAUACCAGUGGCGAAGGCGGCCUUCUGGACUGACACUGACACUGAGGUGCGAAAGCGUGGGUAGCAAACAGGAUUAGAUACCCUAGUAGUC
RNAcentral lists this ribosomal RNA (465 nucleotides) under Vreelandella stevensii. Its description in RNAcentral is "partial 16S ribosomal RNA". It matches the Rfam family "Bacterial small subunit ribosomal RNA", at positions 338 to 795 of the family's 1533-position model. Lineage: Bacteria; Pseudomonadati; Pseudomonadota; Gammaproteobacteria; Oceanospirillales; Halomonadaceae. The record is from RNAcentral.